GUGUUGUUUGUUAAGGGCACACGGUGGAUGCCUUGGCAUUAUGAGCCGAUGAAGGACGUGUAAGGCCGCGAUAGGCCUCGGGGAGUUGCCAAUAGAGCGUUGAUCCGAGGGUGUCCGAAUGGGGAAACCUGGCCAUGGUUAUGUGUGGUUACCCAUCAGUGAAUUCAUAGCUGGUGUGGGGGUGACGCGGGGAAGUGAAACAUCUCAGUACCCGUAGGAGAAGAAAAUAAUUAAUGAUUCUGCUAGUAGUGGCGAACGAACGUGGAUGAGGCUAAACCGUAUGCGUGUGAUACCUGGCAGGGGUUGCGUGUGUGGUGUUGUGGGGCGUUGUUGGAGGAGGCUGCCGGCUCCUCGCUUGUUAUAUGUGUGUGUUAGCGGAAGUGGUUUGGAAUGGCCUGCCGUAGUGGGUGAGAGUCCCGUACGUGAAAACAUGUGCAUGCGAGUGGAUGAUGUUCCCGAGUAGCAGCGGGCUCGUGGAAUCUGCUGUGAAUCUGCCGGGACCACCCGGUAAGCCUAAAUACUUAUGAUGACCGAUAGCGGAUAGUACCGUGAGGGAAUGGUGAAAAGUACCCCGGGAGGGGAGUGAAAUAGUACCUGAAACCGUGUGCUUACAAUCCGUCAGAGCCUUGUUGUUAGGUGAUGGCGUGCCUUUUGAAGAAUGAGCCUGCGAGUCAGCGGCAUGUCGCGAGGUUAACCCGUGUGGGGUAGUCGUAGCGAAAGCGAAUCCUAAUGAGGGUGUUUUUAAGUGGCAUGUCCUGGACCCGAAGCGGGGUGAUCUACCCAUGGCCAGUGUGAAGCAGCUGUAAGAGGUUGUGGAGGCGCGAACCCACUUAGGUUGAAAACUGAGGGGAUGAGCUGUGGGUAGGGGUGAAAGGCCAAUCAAACUCCGUGAUAGCUGGUUCUCCCCGAAAUGCAUUUAGGUGCAGCGUUGUGUGUUUCUUGCUGGAGGUAGAGCUACUGGUUGGUUGAGCGGGACUACAAUCUUAGCAAUGUCAGCCAAACUCCGAAUGCCGGUAAUGUUAAGCAUGGCAGUGAGACUGCGGGGGAUAAGCUCCGUUGGUCGAGAGGGAAACAGCCCAGAUCGCCGGUUAAGGCCCCUAAGGGUGUACUAAGUGGAAAAGGAUGUGGGAUCGCGAAGACAGCCAGGAGGUUGGCUUAGAAGCAGCCAUCCUUGAAAGAGUGCGUAAUAGCUCACUGGUCGAGUGGUUCUGCGCCGACAAUGUAGUGGGGCUCAAGUACACCGCCGAAGCCGCGGCAGUCAGCAAUUUUUUUGUUGGUUGGGUAGGGGAGCGUCGUGCACUGCUGUGAAGCACCUGGGUGACUUGAUGGUGUGGAGUGUGUGCGAGUGAGAAUGCAGGCAUGAGUAACGAAUGAAAAGUGGAAAACUUUUCCGCCGGAUGACUAAGGGUUCCUGGGUUAAGCUAAUCUUCCCAGGGUGAGUCGGGACCUAAGGCGAGGCCGACAGGCGUAGUCGAUGGAUAACCAGUUGAUAUUCUGGUACCCGUGUAUGUGCGCCCAGUGGUGAAUCAGUGGUACUAACCAUCCAUUGAUCUGCUGGUCAUGCUUUGUGUGUGGUUGGUGGUGAUGUGCGUGGGAUCUUCGUUGGUAGUAGCCAAGUGAUGGGGUGACGCAGUGAGGUAGCUGAGCCAUUUAUUGGAUUGUGGUGUAAGCGUGUGGCCCGUGGCAUAGGUAAAUCCGUGUCGCAUAUUUGGGUGAGGCGUGAUGCGUAGACCUUUGUGGUUGAUGUUGGUGAUCCUGUACUGUCGAGAAAAGCCUCUAGCGAGUGCAUAUAUGGCCCGUACCCAUAACCGACACAGGUGGUCAGGUAGAGAAUACUAAGGCGAUCGGGUGAACUGUGGUUAAGGAACUCGGCAAAUUGCCCCCGUAACUUCGGGAGAAGGGGGACCAUUGCUGGUGACCGACGUGGUUGAGCUGGUGGUGGUCGCAGAGAAUAGAGGGAAGCGACUGUUUAUUAAAAACACAGGUCCGUGCGAAAACGUGGAAGUUGAUGUAUACGGACUGACGCCUGCCCGGUGCUGGAAGGUUAAGAGGACCUGUUAGGGCAUUUUUUGUCCGAAGCGGAGAAUUUAAGCCCCAGUAAACGGCGGUGGUAACUAUAACCAUCCUAAGGUAGCGAAAUUCCUUGUCGGGUAAGUUCCGACCUGCACGAAUGGCGUAACGACUUCCCUGCUGUCUCAACCACAGGCCCGGUGAAAUUGCAGUACGAGUAAAGAUGCUCGUUACGCGCGGCAGGACGAAAAGACCCCGGGACCUUCACUAUAGCUUGGUAUUGGUGUUUGGUUCGGUUUGUGUAGGAUAGGUGGGAGACUGUGAAGUGGUCACGCUAGUGGUUGUGGAGUCGAAAGUUGAAAUACCACUCUGAUCGGAUUGAGCACCU
Molecule: ribosomal RNA, 2398 nt
Filed under: Corynebacterium diphtheriae
Lineage: Bacteria; Bacillati; Actinomycetota; Actinomycetes; Mycobacteriales; Corynebacteriaceae
Description: bacterial LSU rRNA
Rfam family: Bacterial large subunit ribosomal RNA
Source: RNAcentral